GGAGAGGUGGCCGAGAGGUUGAAAGCGUCGGAUUGCUAAUCCGUUGUACAAUCCUUUGUACCGAGGGUUCGAAUCCCUCUCUCUCCC
RNAcentral lists this transfer RNA (87 nucleotides) under Vandenboschia auriculata. RNAcentral's name for it is "Trichomanes auriculatum tRNA-Ser". It matches the Rfam family "tRNA". From Rfam's summary of the family: Transfer RNA (tRNA) molecules are approximately 80 nucleotides in length. Their secondary structure includes four short double-helical elements and three loops (D, anti-codon, and T loops). The record is from RNAcentral. Lineage: Eukaryota; Viridiplantae; Streptophyta; Polypodiopsida; Hymenophyllales; Hymenophyllaceae.